CUGGGUAACCGGAGUAAUAUUUGAAGGAGCCCAUUGGGCAUCUGAGAGCUCUUGCCUCUGUUAUUUGGGCAGAGAUAUACUGGUGGGUUGAGUUAACGGGGUGACAUUUUUUUUAUUGUGAUUUAGCAGUUCAGUAGAGAGAAUGCUUUGUAAAGCUGAUUUUCCUGCAGAUCUCUUCUCUUAGGUAUGUCGAUCAGAGGGCUUGUCUGCCUCAUACCAAUCUCUGGACAAGGUGGUGAGCGUAGGAUGGCUCUGUUGGGGUAAGGAAAAGGGGUAAGGAAAAGUCUGACAAGGAGGGUGAUGUCUAGGUUGUGGAGGAAAGGCGCUGGAUCAGUCCCCGGGAGUAAGGAAUGAGCUUAUUCUGUACACGGUUUCAUAAAGCAAAGUAUACUAGUAUACAUAGUAACUUAUCCAUACUAAAACAAACAUGUAGCAAACAUGCGCCUGGCAUUUAAAACCCAAAAUAUUUUUUUGAAAUUUUUUUUUUUAUUCACAAUAUUAUUUCAAAAAUGUUAAAUUUUAGACAAAUCAUAUAAAUGUGUUUUAUAUAAAGUAAUUUCUUCAUAAUGCUUAGUAUAAAGUAUUUAUGCAAGCUACAAAGAGAAUUUACCAGUGGACAUAAUGUGCAAAAAAAAAAUAAAAAAUUACAAACAAAGCACACAGAAUGACAAUAUGCAGCAAAAUAUUUUUUUUUUAGUAACAGAUUUACGCUAGUAGGCAAACAAACUGUUUUCUCUUAAGAGGAUUUGUAUGAAGUGCAGCAGAUCUGGUUUACAUAUAUUGUGAAAAUAAGGAGAUUCCUGCUUCCUCCGAGAGAAUUAAUCAGUUCCAAAUACAUAAAGGCAACUAACCCUUAAAAUGCAUUGAUCCCUUCACAGCGUGAGAUAGAAAAAGGGUAGAUUUUAGUAAGCCAUUUAUUAAAAUUAAGCUAUUUAGAAGUCAAACAUCUUGAGAUGACUUUGGCUCAUGAUACACGAUACCAAUCUCUCCAGCCUCAGCUCAAAAAGUAACAUGUAGAGAUUAGUAAAAUAUUACAUUAAGAGCAGGAGGCCAAACAUAUUACAUUUGGAUGUCAACAAUAAAAAAAAAAUUCAGCUAAAGGGGAAACCAACAGUGGAAAUGCAUUGCAGCUUCACAAAAACUGUUGCUAGAUUAUUACAGGUGAAUUUAUGAUGUACAGGCAUGCCAAAAGGGUAAUAAACUGUAAACCCACUCAGCCACUUACUAUGAGAGUUUGGGGUUAUAAACGUAAGAUCCCAACACAUCUAUCCUUUCCUGGAAGCCCAUAAGAGCUAAUGAUUAUAACUCAGUCAAAAAUGUAGUUUCACAGGCUAAACACUGUUUUUAACUCAUUAACACUGACACUCCACAAAAGCAUUUUGGAAUAAACAAGCUACUGUCAGUCAUGGUCCUCAAUUUGUAAGCCAAUGAGGAGUCACAUGACUUCAUAACAGUGCUUACAAUAUUUUAUGGACAGGCUCGCAUUUGGUAAAGAGCAUCAGGAAAACAUAUGACAUAUCAGCAGCGAGAAACCCUUGGUCUCAAAUGAAAAAAAAAAAAAAAUAUCAACCCAUCACAUCCAGCCCAGGUCUGUAGCCACAAAGCGCCAUGGUUUUGGCUUUAUGAAGAUAAUCAAAAUGAAUGCUGGAAUAAAAUGAAAAACAUAAAAGUAAUAAAAUGGAGGUUAGUAGGUUACAUUUAUUACAGCAGAUUGUAAUAUGCUGAGGAUAUGUUCAAAUGUAAAAAACCAAAUGUUUUACAGUCAUUGUUAUUCACUUUAUUCUUUGCUCUAAGCAUGUCUUAUUUUGGACGGCGUGUAGCUUUUAUCGAUUAUCUCAUCUUGUAAAAACAUGUGCAGGCAUCGUUCAUUCUGCGCCAAUGGGUGGCCAGCAACUCUGUGAAUAAAAUACAUAAGUGUUAG
This 1921-nucleotide long non-coding RNA is filed under the name Pelobates cultripes (western spadefoot toad). Lineage: Eukaryota; Metazoa; Chordata; Amphibia; Anura; Pelobatidae. The record is from RNAcentral.